This 251-nucleotide ribosomal RNA is filed under the name uncultured prokaryote. Its description in RNAcentral is "partial 16S ribosomal RNA". It matches the Rfam family "Bacterial small subunit ribosomal RNA", at positions 524 to 774 of the family's 1533-position model. The record is from RNAcentral.
UACGGAGGAUGCAAGCGUUAUCAGGAUUUAUUGGGUUUAAAGGGUGCGCAGGUUGUUUGAUAAGUCAGUGGUGAAAGUCUGUCGCUUAACGGUAGGAUUGCCAUUGAUACUGUUGGACUUGAAUAUGGAUGAGGUAGGCGGAAUGUGUAGUGUAGCGGUGAAAUGCAUAGAUAUUACACAGAACACCGAUUGCGAAGGCAGCUUACUAAUCCAUCAUUGACGCUGAGGCACGAAAGCGUGGGGAUCAAACA